Molecule: ribosomal RNA, 446 nt
Filed under: uncultured bacterium
Lineage: Bacteria
Description: bacterial SSU rRNA
Rfam family: Bacterial small subunit ribosomal RNA
Source: RNAcentral
GGCCAGACUCCUACGGGAGGCAGCAGUGGGGGAUAUUGCACAAUGGGGGAAACCCUGAUGCAGCGAUGCCGCGUGAGUGAAGACGGCCUUCGGGUUGUAAAGCUCUGUCGCAGAGGACGAAAAUGACGGUACCUGACUAAGAAGCCCCGGCUAACUACGUGCCAGCAGCCGCGGUAAUACGUAGGGGGCAAGCGUUAUCCGGAUUUACUGGGUGUAAAGGGAGCGUAGACGGUGCAGCAAGUCUGAUGUGAAAGGUCGGGGCCCAACCCCGGGACUGCAUUGGAAACUGUUGAACUGGAGUACAGGAGAGGUAAGCGGAAUUCCUAGUGUAGCGGUGAAAUGCGUAGAUAUUAGGAGGAACACCAGUGGCGAAGGCGGCUUACUGGACUGUAACUGACGUUGAGGCUCGAAAGCGUGGGGAGCAAACAGGAUUAGAUACCCGUGUA